CGAGGCCACAGCAGAGGGUGUCAGGAGCCAGAGCUCAGCCUUCGUCUUUCCAGGUUCCAACCACGACUUCACGAGGCUGCUGUGUGAGAAAAAUAUGGGAGUUAAUCCCUGUGAGAAGGGAACGACAUGCUGAGGUGAUGAUCUCCCAGACAGGAAGGAAGUCUGAUGCAGUGGCCUCCUCAGCGCGACCUACAUCAGCCCCGGGAG
This 207-nucleotide long non-coding RNA is filed under the name Fukomys damarensis (Damara mole-rat). RNAcentral's name for it is "lncRNA (ENSFDAG00000024068.1)". The record is from RNAcentral. Lineage: Eukaryota; Metazoa; Chordata; Mammalia; Rodentia; Bathyergidae.